This 1915-nucleotide ribosomal RNA is filed under the name uncultured Prochlorococcus sp. MB11E08. RNAcentral describes it as "bacterial LSU rRNA". It matches the Rfam family "Bacterial large subunit ribosomal RNA", at positions 1 to 1958 of the family's 2925-position model. The record is from RNAcentral. Lineage: Bacteria; Bacillati; Cyanobacteriota; Cyanophyceae; Synechococcales; Prochlorococcaceae.
GUUAUUGGUCAAGCUACAAAGGGCUCACGGAGGAUACCUAGGCACACAGAGGCGAUGAAGGACGUGGUUACCUGCGAUAAGUCUCGGGGAGUUGGAAGCACACUUUGAUCCGGGAAUUUCCGAAUGGGGCAACCCCUUGAACGACCAACUGAAUAUAUAGGUUGGUGCGAGCUAACCCAGCGAACUGAAACAUCUUAGUAGCUGGAGGAAGAGAAAGUAAAUAACGACUCCCUCAGUAGCGGCGAGCGAACGGGGAAUAGCCCAAACCGAUAGUCUUGACUAUCGGGGUUGUGGGACAGCAAUAUGGAUCAACAAUUCUAGAAGAAACGUUUGAAUGGCGUGCCAUAGAGGGUGAAAGCCCCGUAAUUGAAAGAUGAGUUGACCUAGCUGUAUCCCGAGUAGCACGGAGCACGUGGAAUUCCGUGUGAAUCUGCGAGGACCACCUCGUAAGGCUAAGUACUACUGUGUGACCGAUAGUGAAACAGUACCGCGAGGGAAAGGUGAAAAGAACCCCGGGAGGGGAGUGAAAUAGAACAUGAAACCGUGAGCUUACAAGCAAUGGGAGCCCGACUAAUCGGGUGACCGUGUGCCUGUUGAAGAAUGAGCCGGCGACUUAUAGGCACUGGCGGGUUAAACCGGAAAUGGUGGAGCCACAGCGAAAGCGAGUCUUAAUAGGGCGUUUGUCAGUGUUUAUAGACCCGAACCCUGGUGAUCUAACCAUGGCCAGGAUGAAGCUUGGGUGAUACCAAGUGGAGGUCCGAACCGACUGAAGUUGAAAAUUCAGCGGAUGAGCUGUGGUUAGGGGUGAAAUGCCAAUCGAACCAGGAGCUAGCUGGUUCUCCCCGAAAUACGUUGAGGCGUAGCGUCUAGUGCUCCAGCAGGGGGGUAAAGCAACCAUUUCGGUGCGGGCUGCGAAAGCGGUACCAAAUCGAUAUGAACUCUGAAUACCCUGUGUGUAACUAGGCAGUCAGACUGUGGGGGAUAAGCUCCAUAGUCAAGAGGGAAACAGCCCAGACCGCCAGCUAAGGUCCCAAAAUUAACGCUAAGUGAUAAAGGAGGUGGGAUUGCCCAGACAACCAGGAGGUUUGCCUAGAAGCAGCCAUCCUCAAAGGAGUGCGUAAUAGCUCACUGGUCGAGCGAUCCUGCGCCGAAAAUGAAUGGGGCUAAGCGUUAUACCGAAGCUGCGGAUAAAUUUAUUUAUGGUAGGGGAGCGUUCUAUGUUGGGUGAAGCGUUAGCGUAAGCGGACGUGGACGGCAUAGAAGUGAGAAUGUCGGCUUGAGUAGCGAAAACAUGGGUGAGAAUCCCAUGCCCCGAAACCCUAAGGGUUCCUCCGGCAGGCUCGUCCGCGGAGGGUUAGUCUGGACCUAAGGCGAGGCCGAAAGGCGUAGUCGAUGGAUAACAGGUCAAUAUUCCUGUACCAGUUAUGUUUUCGGAAGGGGGACGGAGAAGGCUAGCCAGGCCAGAUGUUGGUUACUGGUUCAAGCGUUCAAGGCUUUGAGAGAUGGAGAAAACAUCUUGAGCUGAGGCGUGAGUACGAGCUACUACGGUAGCGAAGUUGGUGAUGUCAUGCUUCCAAGAAAAGCCCUAUACCCGUUAAGACAUAAAUGCCAGUACCCGAAACCGACACAGGUGGGGUGGUAGAGAAUACCGAGGGGCGCGAGAUAACUCUCUCUAAGGAACUCGGCAAAAUGGCCCCGUAACUUCGGGAGAAGGGGUGCCAGCGAGAGCUGGUCGCAGUGAAGAGGCGCAAGCGACUGUUUACCAAAAACACAGGUCUCCGCUAAGUCGCAAGACGAUGUAUGGGGGCUGACACCUGCCCAGUGCCGGAAGGUUAAGGAAGCUGGUUAGCUUUUAGCAAAGCUAGCGACUGAAGCCCCGGUGAACGGCGGCCGUAACUAUAACGGUCCUAAGGUA